GACGAACGCUGGCGGUGUGCUUAACACAUGCAAGUCGAACGGAAAGGCCCUGCUUUUGUGGGGUGCUCGAGUGGCGAACGGGUGAGCAACACGUGAGUAACCCGCCCUCGAAUUAGGGAUAACUUCAGGUAACUGGGGCUAAUACCGGACAGGAGCUCCUGCUGCAUGGUGGGGGUUGGAAAGUUUCGGCGGUUGGGCAUGGACUCGCGGCUUAUCUGCUUGUUGGUGGGGUAGUGGCUUACCAAGGCUUUGACGGGUAGCCGGCCUGAGAGGGUGACCGGCCACAUUGGGACUGAGAUACGGUCCAGUGGCGUACGGGCGGCAGCAGUGGGGAGUGUUGCACGAGGGGGGGAAGACUGAUGCCACGCCGCCGCGUGCGGAGUGACGGCCUUCGGGCUGUGACCCGCAGUAGCCUAGGACGAAGGGUGAGUGACGGUAAUGGGUAGGGAAGAACCGGCUAACUAAGUG
RNAcentral lists this ribosomal RNA (468 nucleotides) under uncultured bacterium. RNAcentral's name for it is "partial 16S ribosomal RNA". It matches the Rfam family "Bacterial small subunit ribosomal RNA", at positions 28 to 507 of the family's 1533-position model. The record is from RNAcentral.